ACAGCAGCCGCCGCGGGAAUACAGAGGGUGCGAGCGUUAAUCGGAUUUACUGGGCGUAAAGCGUGCGUAGGCGGCUUCUUAAGUCGGAUGUGAAAUCCCUGAGCUUAACUUAGGAAUUGCAUUCGAUACUGGGAAGCUAGAGUAUGGGAGAGGAUGGUAGAAUUCCAGGUGUAGCGGUGAAAUGCGUAGAGAUCUGGAGGAAUACCGAUGGCGAAGGCAGCCAUCUGGCCUAAUACUGACGCUGAGGUACGAAGCAUGGGGAGCAAACAGGAUUAGAUACCCGGGUAGUCCAUGUCUCUUAUACA
This 305-nucleotide ribosomal RNA is filed under the name uncultured bacterium. Its description in RNAcentral is "partial 16S ribosomal RNA". It matches the Rfam family "Bacterial small subunit ribosomal RNA", at positions 508 to 808 of the family's 1533-position model. The record is from RNAcentral.